This 500-nucleotide ribosomal RNA is filed under the name uncultured cyanobacterium. Its description in RNAcentral is "bacterial SSU rRNA". It matches the Rfam family "Bacterial small subunit ribosomal RNA", at positions 356 to 870 of the family's 1533-position model. Lineage: Bacteria; Bacillati; Cyanobacteriota. The record is from RNAcentral.
GGGGAAUCUUCCGCAAUGGGCGAAAGCCUGACGGAGCAACGCCGCGUGAGGGAGGAAGGCCUGUGGGUUGUAAACCUCUUUUCUCAGGGAAGAAGUUCUGACGGUACCUGAGGAAUCAGCAUCGGCUAACUCCGUGCCAGCAGCCGCGGUAAGACGGAGGAUGCAAGCGUUAUCCGGAAUUAUUGGGCGUAAAGCGUCCGUAGGCGGUUCAGAAAGUCUGCUGUUAAAGCUCACAGCUCAACUGUGAAUCGGCAGUGGAAACUUCUGGACUAGGGAGUGGUAGGGGUAGAGGGAAUUCCUAGUGUAGCGGUGAAAUGCGUAGAUAUUAGGAAGAACACCAGUGGCGAAGGCGCUCUACUGGGCCAUUACUGACGCUGAUGGACGAAAGCUAGGGGAGCGAAAGGGAUUAGAUACCCCUGUAGUCCUAGCUGUAAACGAUGGACACUAGGUGUUGGCCGUAUCGACCCGGUCAGUAUCGAAGCAAACGCGUUAAGUGUCCC